Long non-coding RNA from Mustela erminea (ermine), 700 nucleotides. RefSeq lists it as uncharacterized. NCBI's taxonomy places the organism in Eukaryota, Metazoa, Chordata, Mammalia, Carnivora, Mustelidae. The transcript has 3 exons. The record is from RefSeq and is a predicted model, not a curated record.
CUGAGAGCUGUUUAUUUUUCCAGGCCUCAGGUCAUUACAUCACCCCGCGGUUUCUGGGCAGGCCAAGAGUGCUGGUUUGGGGGAUGGGGGAUCCGGCCAGGAGGUGUCCUUGCCUCAGUGACCCUGCAUCCCAGUCACCGCAGCUGUCCCGGCAGGAGCUUCCCUGGUGAGGAAGGAGCGGUCCAAAUGCAGCCCAGGGGCCCACAGCGGGCCGAGAGGAGCAGGGCUCUGACGCCAGCAGAUAGGAAGGAGCAGGGGUGCUGCGAACAUCUGACCGGCCAUGCGGACGGUGAGGUUGACUUUCUGAGAGCUCAUUACAUGUUCCAGAUAGAAGUCCUACACUGGAUAUGUGGUUGCUGGCACAGAAUUGGGUACGGCAGGACCCGAGAGUGGGGAUUCAUUGGCCUCUCCCCCAGGAGCUGCGUGGUGCUCUGAGCUGGAGACAGGGGCUCAGAUGUGGCCCAGAGACCUCUGUGUGCACACGCGGAAAUCUCUGCUUCCAGCGGCACUCCUGGGCCAUGCCUGGAACUGAACUCAAGAGACAGCGAGCCAAUGAACAAAUUCUCAGUGGCCUGACCAUCUGAGUCCUCACCUGGACCUGGGGGACCCCACAAAGGUACCAGGCAGUGGGAUCAAGAACAUGAAUGGCAAGUCAUCAGAGAGGGAGACAAACCACAAGACUCUUAAGUGCAGAAAACAA